GACGAACGCUGGCGGCGUGCUUAACACAUGCAAGUCGAACGGAAAGGCCCUGCUUUUGUGGGGUGCUCGAGUGGCGAACGGGUGGGUAACACGUGAGUAACCUGCCCUUGACUUUGGGAUAACUUCAGGAAACUGGGGCUAAUACCGGAUAGGAGCUCCUGCUGCAUGGUGGGGGUUGGAAAGUUUCGGCGGUUGGGGAUGGACUCGCGGCUUAUCAGCUUGUUGGUGGGGUAGUGGCUUACCAAGGCUUUGACGGGUAGCCGGCCUGAGAGGGUGACCGGCCACAUUGGGACUGAGAUACGGCCCAGACUCCUACGGGAGGCAGCAGUGGGGAAUAUUGCACAAUGGGCGGAAGCCUGAUGCAGCAACGCCGCGUGCGGGAUGACGGCCUUCGGGUUGUAAACCGCUUUCGCCUGUGACGAAGCGUGAGUGGCGGUAAUGGGUAAAGAAGCACCGGCUAACCACGUG
Molecule: ribosomal RNA, 468 nt
Filed under: uncultured bacterium
Lineage: Bacteria
Description: partial 16S ribosomal RNA
Rfam family: Bacterial small subunit ribosomal RNA
Source: RNAcentral